AUACAGGUAUUGCACCGAUAUCCAAACUCAAUUUUUCUGCCUAUGGCGGCCUUUAUUUCACGGACACGACAUUUCUCGACGUCGAUUCAAAGCAGAAGCUUGAGAACGAUUCUACAUUUUGCGUUAGACCACACUGCAAAAGAACUUUUUGGGAUUGCAAUGUUGAGGAACUGAGAUAUUAUACAUACAAAGAACCAAACAGAAGGCCAUGGCGUGAUCUCUUCUCGUAUGCUUCUGCUCUGAUCGACGUUGGCUUUGCAAGACAGCCUCCACCAGACCAUCCCCUUCUUCUUCUUCAGCAGCGCGCAUCAUACCAAGUCUUCAUGGACAAACACUUGAAUCUGCUGAAGAAUGGGCAUGCUUGUCUUCUCCAAUCUUAUAAAACACCCAGCAAUUCUGUCCAACUUUAUACCCACUCUGUUCCACCCGGACCCACACAAGAGGAACGUUUUUGUCUCCAGGGAUGACCCCACAACCAUCACUGGCUUCAUAGACUGGUAGUCCACCAGUGUCGAACCGGCAUUUGAGCACGCUCACGACUUCCCCGACUUUGCAAGCAUCCCCUUAGGGGGAACAUCAGAAAACGCCGAAACAAGUCUCUGCUACCAAGCAUAUGAGCUAAGGUGGGUUAUAUUAGCUCUCUAACUAGGUGCAACCAGG
Molecule: small RNA, 660 nt
Filed under: Histoplasma capsulatum var. duboisii H88
Lineage: Eukaryota; Fungi; Ascomycota; Eurotiomycetes; Onygenales; Ajellomycetaceae
Description: Histoplasma capsulatum H88 hypothetical RNA
Source: RNAcentral